This 392-nucleotide ribosomal RNA is filed under the name uncultured bacterium. RNAcentral describes it as "partial 16S ribosomal RNA". It matches the Rfam family "Bacterial small subunit ribosomal RNA", at positions 523 to 918 of the family's 1533-position model. The record is from RNAcentral.
AUACGGAGGAUCCGAGCGUUAUCCGGAUUUAUUGGGUUUAAAGGGUGCGCAGGCGGCCAUUUAAGUCAGCGGUUAAAUCGUGGGGCUCAACCCCACUCUGCCGUUGAUACUGGGUGGCUUGAUUGCGGUCGAGGUUGGCGGAAUUCGUUGUGUAGCGGUGAAAUGCAUAGAUAUGACGAAGAACACCGAUUGCGUAGGCAGCUGACCAGACCGCAAAUGACGCUCAUGCACGAAAGUGCGGGGAUCGAACAGGAUUAGAUACCCUGGUAGUCCGCACAGGAAACGAUGAAUACUUGUUUUCGGCGAUAUAAUGUCGGAGGCAAAGCGAAAGCGAUAAGUAUUCCACCUGGGGAGUACGCCGGCAACGGUGAAACUCAAAGGAAUUGACGGGG